Ictalurus punctatus (channel catfish) is the source of this 1363-nucleotide long non-coding RNA. NCBI's taxonomy places the organism in Eukaryota, Metazoa, Chordata, Actinopteri, Siluriformes, Ictaluridae. The record is from Ensembl.
CUUUAAACCAGCAUUGAAUUUCUUUCGAAGGAGUUACGCAAUACUGAAGCUCCAUCCUGGGAAUCUGUGACUCUGUUUCUACACACACACACACACACACACACACACACACAGUAGGGCUGUGAGCUGGACUGGGUGGACUACAGCUGCUGUGUUGUGGAAAUCGAGGACGUGGACUGCACCCCAGCUUAAGUGGGUCAGUUAAGCCCUUCCAUUAAACAUGGCUCUGGGAUGAGUCCAGAUGUUUCUGCCUGGCGCGCAGAGACCGAGAACAUGUGUGCCGGAUGUGAUGAAUGCAUAAUAGGGCCCAAAAAUCUAGUGCCGCUACCAGGACCUGUUUUUAUUUCAGUAGUUAUGUAAAAGUAACACAAUUUGAAAAAGUUAAGUUUGUCUGAAAUUCAUGAGAUUCUUUAUUAAAGAGUAGAACAGAUCAUCUGGUACUAAUCCAUUUAAUCUCAUGUGUCAGUUGCUAAGAAACAACACUUAACACUGUUAGCAUACACACACACCAGAUUUCUAUAUAUUUCAAGUUUGUAGCAAAAGUUCUGUGUCAAAACUUUCUGAGUCUGAUUGGCUCUCCUUGAUUCCUGCACCAGGUUUCAGACGUGUAAAAAAACGCAACCUGUGGUCACUGGAUUGAGAAAAAAAAAUCACAGAAUUGUGUCUUUUUCAAAUUUUUGAAGGUGUUUAAAGGUAUUUUUAUUUCAAGGAGCUGGAGAGUAAAUCAGAUGAUUUAAUUUCAGACUGAAAUGAAAAUAUUUGACGAUCUGAAGAGUUCCUAGUGCAGUCUGGUUGGUUGGAUAUGAUGUAAACGGACACUUCCUGUGAAAGUAAACGGUUCUGGGUCAGGUUUAGUGAUGAAACAAUACCAGAGUCUACAUGGAGAUAAAGUCACAUGGCCUGGAUUGUGAGAUUGGACUGCUGGGCUCGUGGGAUUUUUAACUAGAAUACACGUCUGGAGACGGUCUUUUAAAAUCCCGGCAGUGACCUGCAGUGAUAUCGAGCGUAAACAAAGCCACGCCCACGGGCUUUGGUUCCACCCCAUGGUUCUGCGUGUUAGUAUUGAUCAGAUAAUACUCACAAAUGCAUCUUUUUCACUCACUGUCCGAUUUAAACUCUGAUUUUAUUCAGGAAAGUGUUUUUUUGGAGAACAUGAUCGUGUGAACCUGCGCGUGUCUGUUGCGUGUGUUUAGCAUGUUUUAUGAGUGUGUUAGGACUGGGUUUAUCACGGCUGCUGACCCGGUUAGUACCUCGUGUCAUUUCUAAUUUGAUAAAGUGUUUGCAGUUUAAUUUCUCUUUGAUAUUACACUAAACCCUCGUGUGAGUGUGUGUUCGUGUGUGUAUGUGUGUGAGUGUAUGUGAG